AGAGUUUGAUCAUGGCUCAGAGUGAUCGCUGGCGGCGUGCUUAACACAUGCAAGUCGAGCGAAUUUCAGCAGCGUAUCGCUGGAGUUAGCGGCAGACGGGUGAGUAAUACUUGGGCAAUCUGCCCUUGAGUGGGAAACAACCUGACGAAAGUCGGGCUAAUGUCCCAUAAGACCACAGGAUGGCAUCAUCCAGGGGUCAAAGCUCCGCAAGGGGCGCUUGAGGAGGAGCCCGAGUCCUAUCAUGGUAGUUGGUGAGGUAACGGCUCACCAAGCCUUUGACGGGUAGCCGGCCUGAAAGGGUGAUCGGCCACACUGGCACUGAGACACGGGCCAGACUCCUACGGGAGGCAGCAGUGGGGAAUUUUGGACAAUGGGGGCAACCCUGAUCCAGCGACGCCGCGUGAAGGAUGAAGGUCUUCGGAUUGUAAACUUCUUUUGAUGGGGAUGAAUGCCUUGGUGAAUAGCCAAGGGUGACAGUACCCAUUGAAUAAGCCACGGCUAACUACGUGCCAGCAGCCGCGGUAAUACGUAGGUGGCAAGCGAUACUCGGAAUCACUAGGCGUAAAGCGCAGGUAGGCGGUUCGGUAAGUCUUUUGUGAAAGCUCCCGGCUUAACUGGGAGAGGUCAAGGGAAACUACCGGGCUAGAGUGUGGUAGGGGAUACUGGAAUUCCUGGUGUAGCGGUGAAAUGCGUAGAUAUCAGGAGGAAUACCUAUGGCGAAAGCAGGUAUCUGGGCCAUCACUGACGCUGAGCUGCGAAAGCUAGGGGAGCAAACAGGAUUAGAUACCCUAGUAGUCC
Molecule: ribosomal RNA, 798 nt
Filed under: uncultured bacterium
Lineage: Bacteria
Description: bacterial SSU rRNA
Rfam family: Bacterial small subunit ribosomal RNA
Source: RNAcentral